RNAcentral lists this ribosomal RNA (525 nucleotides) under Trimorphomyces papilionaceus. RNAcentral describes it as "eukaryotic LSU rRNA". The stretch from base 143 to 296 matches the Rfam family "5.8S ribosomal RNA". Lineage: Eukaryota; Fungi; Basidiomycota; Tremellomycetes; Tremellales; Trimorphomycetaceae. The record is from RNAcentral.
UCCGUAGGUGAACCUGCGGAAGGAUCAUUAGUGAAACGGUCCUCUGUGACCUUGGAUCUAUUCCAAACCUCUUGUGAACUGUGGCCCUCGGGCCUUUACAAACAAUCUAGUCAUGAACGUCUUGUUAUAAUAAUAAAAACACAACUUUCAACAACGGAUCUCUUGGCUCUCGCAUCGAUGAAGAACGCAGCGAAAUGCGAUAAGUAAUGUGAAUUGCAGAACACAGUGAAUCAUCGAAUCUUUGAACGCACCUUGCACCCUCUGGUAUUCCGGAGGGUAUGCCUGUUUGAGUGUCAUGUAGACUCAACCUUUCGGGUUUCUGCCCGAUCGGUUGGACUUGGGUGUUGCCUCUUUGUUGCAGGCUCGCCUUAAAUACCUCAGUGACUCUUCUGGGAUCUGUGCCCGGCGUGAUACGUUUCGCCUGGCCUGCCUGACCGAGUUGCUCAUAACAACCACUACUUUUGACUCUGACCUCAAAUCAGGUAGGACUACCCGCUGAACUUAAGCAUAUCAAUAAGCGGAGGA